AUGGAGUGUUCUCGGACUCGUGUUGCUGCUUGGCCGGACGCAGCUGGUUCGCCUCAAAUCUCGACCCAGGGGUGGACCUUGCUGGACGCUGUUGGACCUCGCGUGCACGAGUCUCGUUUUGGGGUCGGCUGUUCUGGCUACUUUGAACGGGUACUACCAGCUGAGCGAAAACGAACCUACCGAUUUCGUAAAAAAAUCCACUCUCAAGGACAUCUCGGCUGAGUUCGCCAUGGCAGUUUCUCUCGUCGUCUUAACAAUCCUGUCUUGGAGCCGGA
Molecule: long non-coding RNA, 275 nt
Organism: Ixodes scapularis (black-legged tick)
Lineage: Eukaryota; Metazoa; Arthropoda; Arachnida; Ixodida; Ixodidae
Exons: 3
Source: RefSeq, a predicted model, not a curated record